Molecule: non-coding RNA, 72 nt
Organism: Nematostella vectensis (starlet sea anemone)
Lineage: Eukaryota; Metazoa; Cnidaria; Anthozoa; Actiniaria; Edwardsiidae
Source: Rfam
UCCUCGGUAGUAUAGUGGUGAGUAUCCCCGCCUGUCACGCGGGAUAUCGGGGUUCGAUUCCCCGCCGUGGAG